UACCAACAAGCUAGCGAUGAGAGUAGUAUCAAAAAGUGGUUCACCAUUAGUAAGUAGUAAACCAAACCUUGUUUUCUACAGAAGUGUCGACAUCUUGGUGUCAAUAAUACCGGCGCGAGACAUAAAUCAGAAGUCAUAUUUGGUUUGAGAUAGAUAAUAUCCAUCAGAAAGUAGAUGAAACUUCAACACCCUAAGAAACUCAGAUACCCAAAUCCUCCAUUCAAAAACUACAUAUUGAAGAAUGUUUAAGCUCAGCAAUACCAUCAGGUCAUCAAAAUCCAAUCAUAAAUCAAUGUCAUCAACGUAUAGUAGAAAAGAACGUGCAUGAUAAGCUUCUUGAGAAAUAGUGAUGAAGCAUAAUCACUACUGAAAAGAACCCAAACUGAAAAAUAGUGAAACCUAAAUUAGCAAACCAAGGCUCGGGAGGCUUGGCUUAAGUUCAAUAUGAGCCACCGACGCAUAUACAGAUCUUGUGAGGAGCAUGACAUAGCUAGGGAGGAGUCAUAUAUACUUCCUCUUGCAAGUCCCUAUUGAGAAAAUCUUUUUCACAUCUAUUUUGAAAAGACCACAUCUAUGGAAUUGCCGCAAUAUUAAUAAGAGUCCGAAUAUAAGUAAGGCGAUCAACAGGAGCAAAAGUCUUCUCCUAAUCAAUCCCAGAUUCUUGAAUAAAGCCACGGGCACCCAUAACGUGCUUUAAUCAUUUAAUAGCUCAUCAUCCUGAGUCUUAGUCCGUAUACACCAUUUGCCAUCCUCCUGUUGAUUGUCAACGACAGUCACCAUGUCUCAUGUGUUUUAUCAAGAGUACUAAUUUAUCUUUCAUCGCUUUUUUUCCAUCAAGUUAGAGGAGACCUCAUAAAAAUUUGAGGCUCAGCACAGUCUAAAGAGCAAAAUAAUAGUUGAUAAAUCACAAGAUUGAGAGGUGUCAGUUUCUUACUCUGGUGGCACAACGAGUAGGAGGGAGGAACAAAUGGCAGAAGCCACUGACAGGGAAAGCAUUGGGCCCGUCCCUGGCGCAGGAUGUUAGACUUGGGAUGAAGAGAACCUACAGAAGAGGGAGAAGUAACAAGGCGAGAUAAUAUCUAAUAAUGGGUCUGUAAGAAGGGUGACCAAGACUAUGGGUUGAUGUAGGGGUUUUGGAGAUAUUAAAAAGUUAAACAUCUUCCCAAAUUCAACAUGUCCGAGAAAUAUGAAGCGUUUGGAGAUAGGGUUCAUAACAACGAUAACCUUUAUGUUCAAUCUCAUACCCUAAGAAACACAAAGUCGCGAACUAUAUUUAACUCUUGUGUUCAUGAAUUGAGUAAGAACAAAAGCAUCGCCAUAACCCUAAAAACACAAAAUUUAUAUUAUGAGGAGUGCUAUAUAGCCGUUAUAAGGUGAUAUGUUGUCGGGACCAAUGAUGUGUACCAUUUAAGUGUAUACGCCUGAGGGCAUAUCUUCCAAAAAGACUCGUGAUAGAAACAGAAAUAAGAAGAACCAGACAUUAUCCAGAUAAUGCCGAAUUUGCAUUCUGUACGGCCAUUUUGUUGAGAAAGGUACCAGAGGCAUGAUGAUGGGGAAGUGUGCCAUAAAUUGUUUAAAGAAUUUCUUAAAAAAUUAGUUGUUUAUAUUCCUUGUGCAUUAUCAUAAGAAAAAUUUUAAUUUUGCGAGAAAACUACGUUGAAUCAUUUCUGAAAUUCAAUCAUACCUAUAAAUAAAUCAGAUCUACUAUGCCUAGAUAAACCCUGUAUACCGGAGUAAUCAUUACAAAAAUGAUAAGAUACGAAAAAUAGGCAUAGUAGAUAUGGGAGAGGGGAGAGGGGCCCCCCCUAUUAGAGUGAUAAGGUCAAAAAGUUGUCAUAGAAAGAGAAUCAUUAUUUAAAAAGAUAUGCAAUUGUUUCCCUUUUGACAAGCAAGACCAUGAAAAUUCGUUUCAGUUUUGACACACACCACUCAAAUAUUACGAGAUACUAAUGGUUUUGUAAUUUUGAAUAAAGACAGUCAUGACCUAAGCGAGAAUUCUAGAGGCUAAGAGAAACAUGGCUACUUGGACUAUGAUGCAGCAGCAAUAGAUUGAGGAGGAAUAUUAAGAGACUCCAACUCAAACAAACUUCCAUUUUUACGGUUGUGGCCGCAAUAAUGUUUUUUCCGUUUGUAGAUCCAAAUCAGCAACUAGAGUUGAAAAAAAUAAGUGUAAACCAAGCUCACACAGUUGACUCAACAGAUAACAAUUAUGAGAAAGAGCAGAACAGAUAAGUAUGGGGUCCAUAUUAAGAUUAGUGGUAGCGAUAAAUAUCAUAUGAGUAGUAGUUUUAUAAGAGAGUAUUGGUAAUGUGAAUAGGAUGCACAGAUGAGGUGGUAUUGCGACAGAAUAAGACAGUAAUCAAAUCCUAUGAUGAUUGCAACAUGCAGUAUAUCAAAAGCCAGGUAAAAUACUUUGAAAUGGGUUGAGAGAGCAGAUUAAUGAAUUUAGUGGCGUGAUACAAUUUGGUACUAUUGUACCGACAUCAGCAGGCAGUAGAGUGGAUGACGAAGUAGAAGCAAGGGGAUGGCCCAGUAGAGUCGGUUACACAAACAAUCUAACAGUAAGGAACCUUUUUAUUUUUGGGUUUGUUGUGGGAGCGACAAUCCUCAUAAGCCUAUUGUCAUGUCUACAAAAGCUGCAAUUUUCUUUUGGGAGCUAGAUGAUAUAGUCUUCGAGCCAGUAAACCUAACAGGCUGAGAGGAUUGUGGUAGAGGUGUCCAGGAAGGUAUAGCCAGAACAGGAUGAGAAUGUUGAUGCAAAGUCAUGGUUUUCUUGCGAGUCUCCUCAGAUCUAAGCUGGCCAGGGCUUGGCCAAUAGUAGGAGUAGAUGCGAUGAAGAAGAGAGGCCCGUGUAUUUUAUAAUCAGGACAGAAUAGCCAUGAGAAGUGGCAGACGAGAAACUGUCUCAGUAGGCAUAAAGGUUACUCUACAAACAUCGGUGGAUAAGCUAGAUAGGCUCGAAUAGCUAAGUGGGGAUUCCAUAGAUUUGACAUCUGCUAGUAGAAAUCAGUAAGAGGCUAACCCAUUUUGAAACAGAAUGGGGAAGCUGCAAGUCCCACUGAUACUCACUGGCGCCAUCAAUAGAAACUAUCGCUCAAGCCAAUACUUCAUAACCUCUUUAGCAGUCUCAAAUAAUAAGAGUGAAUGGAUGGAUGGAACUGAAGUGUUGGAACCAGAUGAAUACUCUUAGGAGUUGUCGCUAUUAUUCUUUCAAGCUUGGAUCGGUACUUUUGCAUGAGAAUCCUCAAUCAUCUUCAGCGAAAUCGAAAACUGGGUUGGUUAGCAUCUCAUGUGAUAUAUUUUUAGAAUUUUCGGGCUGAAGGACCGUUGCACAUGGCAGAGGACCAAGGCUGAUUGUUGGAUUCGCGAGAAUGAUGGAAAUAGGUUGAGAGACUUUCGAUUGGCCAUUGUUUUUUGAUUUUUUGAUGCUAAACUGUAAUUAAAAGUUCAGUGGCUUCCUGCUUUAUAAUUUAACCGAAAGUGCUCUGCUUUGCGUUGACGUGGCUCUGCCGUGAGCUGACAAUGACUCUGAGUGUGCAACAGUGGCUGAGUAGGUGUGGUGGGCUGAGUGGUGCGUGGAUUCACUCGCGUCUCUUCUUUAUGGCGCGUGUGGGCGCAUGGAUCGACCGCCGAUGAACUUGAUGGCAGGUGAGGGGCUUUGUGGCGGCUGUUUUAUAAUGUUUUUGGUAAUCGUCCUUUUCACUUUGGUGCAUCAAAGAGAUAUUUGAGAAGGAUUUUGUCAUGACCCGGGCUCGAUAGUGGCUUUUUUGGUGGUUUUCGGACUGGUUUCGAGCUUUUGAUGGGUUGUAGAGUGUUUAGGCCUUUGUAUCUAGGUAUAUAGUCAGAGGUUAUGUUCUUCGCCGGGCUGCCAAGCAAUGCCGGAUGUUAGCGUAAGAGUUAGGUCACAGAGCGUGGCUCUGAUGCCAUGUUAAGAAGAAGUUGGAGAGAGAGAGAGAGAAGGAGAGAGAGGAAAUUUAUGUGUAUUGUAUUCAGUAAAUGAAAUGGUACAGAUGAGUCCUCUUUAUAUAGAGGAUGGUCAAAAAAGAAUGAUUUACAUAAUGUACUGAAUAUAAUAUAAAUAAAGUAAUCGUAUCAAUCAAUAUAUAUUAUGAUAUAUAAUAUAUUCUGAAUAUUAAUUAGAAAGAUAUUCAGAAUAUAUUAUAUAUCACAAAAUAUAUCAUAAAUAUAUGUUAACACCGAGCAUGCGGCCACACGGAGUGAGAUGUCCAAAUGCUGCGUGUGCGUGUGUGUGCGCGUGUGUGUGAGAGAGAGAGGCAUUGAUAUUGGCAAAUGUAGUUGGCACGUAUAAUUCCACUCGUUGGCCUCUCCACUAAUUGAAGAGACUUGGGAAUAAAUUAUUAUCCUACACAGACAAGCUUAGUUGUUUCCAUCUGUUGCCUACCAAAUGACUCGUACAAUUUUGUGGCUCAUGGCAUGCAAUUUGAGAGCCCGCAAAUGGUUGUGACAUUAACAACCAAUAACAAUGUGCAUGGCCUGCAGGGUCAAAUCAGUCAAUUGAAUGCCCAUGGGGCGUGCUUCCCAACUUGACAGCUGGUUGGAUGUGAAAAUUGCAGGAUUAGUAUUGGAGAGGAAAAUGCAAAAAUCACAUAAAUGCCCCUUUCUAUCAUCGUCCCUCACUAUGCUUCUAUAGUGUGUGUGUUUCAAGUGGUUGUAUGGCCUGGUGUGGAUGUUUGGUUCGUGUGGUGGAGGCAAGGAGGAUCAAAAUUGUAUGAAGCUUUGUGAAUUGUUCUUUCACCUAAUUAAGCAAAUCUCUAAUGGCAAUAUUUACGCCAUUUGCCGGCCAUUAUCCUUUCAUCGAAGGAUUUUUCAUUUAUUUAUUUAUUUUUAUAUUUAGUAGGGGUUCAUUAGUCGAGGAAUAGAUGAAGUUUUAUUUCAUUUCGCAAAGGUAAGUUUAAAACUCAACACCCAACUUUGUAAAGAAACUUUUUAUCCAAUAGAUCAACCCCUCCAUCUUAACCAAAAGUAAAUAUCCUUUCGUGUCUGCAAGCCAUAUCCAGUUUUCACUCAUAUUGCAGUUUUUUGCCUUGGUGUUUUGUUUUGAAUUAAAGAUUUGUAAAAAAAAAUAAUGAAUUCAACGAGCAAAUUUAAUUUUUUUUUAUUUCUUUUUUUUCUCUUCACAAAUAUAGCCAUAAAUUUUUUAUCAAAUACAAACCUUAUGGUGCACUUCCACCUCACAUUUCAUAAAUUCAGAAGUGCAACAAAAUAGAGGUAGAAACAAUUUUUUUUUUUCUUUCAUUUAAAAUCACAUAAAGGUACGAUACAAAUGUCCACUAAUAUAUAUGGACAAAUGAAAAAUCUCACCAAGGGUUGGCUAGGGAAUAAGGCCAAAGAGUCUAUUUUAAAAAGGCUACAUGGAUAAACCUCAAUACCGAUUGGCUUAUGGUGGACUUUUUUAUUAUUUUAAUUGCUUUACUAAGGCUCUUUUGGACGAAGUAAUUAGACAGAGAUUUGUGGAUCAAAAAGAAAAGUAAAUGAGAGAUUAAUUCUGAAACGCUAGAUUUAUCAAUUUUCUUCUUUUGUUUUUCUUUUUCCUCCGCUAAAUCUUUAAUUGAAAGAGGGCAUUCACCAUCAACACAAGGACUCUUUUCUGUCAUUAACUUAUUUUCAAGUCAUUCUGAAGAUAUGGUGCUGAUAUAGUGAUAUAGAGAUGCCAGUGACAUUUCUGAUUAGGACUCUUUUCUGUUGUUAACUUAUUUUCAAGUCAUUAUGAAGAUAUUGUGCUGAUAUGGAGUGCACAUAUCUGAUUCCACUACAAUGUGAGGGCUUUUGAUGGAGUGCACAUUGCUUUUGAUGGAGUGAAUUCAGACUAAUCAAUUCACUGUAUUUAACCCUCAUGAUCUCAUUUGAGUAAAAAAUAAUCUAAUGGAAUCAAACAAGCCAAUCCAUUCACCUCUUUGGAGGAAAAUUAUCUCAUUUUAAGAGAUUUGAUUCAGGCUGAGUAAUUAUUCACCAUCCAUUGAGCCUAACUCAUCAUGCUCUUAUGGUGGUUCCCAAUUAUUCGUAUCAGACACAAGCUUAAUGAAUUUCUUUCUCCAAACUAUGUUAUUAUUGCCAAUUUCAUACAGGGAGCCGCACCAAAGUAACAUAUUUCAAAAAUGGUGCAUCCACAUGUCAAUAUAACAUUAUCGCAAUCGAUCGCAAUAUUCACUACAACUUAUCAUAACAUCAAUAUUCACAUGCAACUUAUCAUUAACAUGAAAAAGGUCCGUAACAACUUUUUUGAACCACAAAAGGUCGUAACAUUUAUCACAAUGAUGUAUAUACACUAUUUUUUUUAAAAAAUAACAUACAACCCCCUUAACAUUCAUCAUACCGUCAUAAUAUACAACAUAAUCGUCGUAAGGUUGGUUGAUAUAGGUGGAUAUCCAUCUAGAAUUUUGCCAUUCAUUACAUUGUUAAACUAGAAUGGCCAGUGCUAGCACCACAUAGCCCAAUUUUCUUUCUCUAACCAAGAACUCUCAUGUUUGCCAUAUUAUUGUAGACUUCUAUGCCAAAUACUCAUCUCUUUGGUCAUGAGUAGCCACAACAGAAAGAGGUUUUGAAGAAUAGAACACGGUCGAGGGUAGAAUUUUUAUAGCAGCAGCUACUUGGGGGACGAAAAACAAAGGUGUUUGUGAAUAUCAACUAAUUAAUCAACUUAGGUAUACCUAAGACGAGAAAAGAAGUAAGAUCCAUACCCUAGCAACUCAAUAAUAAAAUCUGGCAUCUGCACUCUCUUAACGAACUGCAUAUACGCUUUUACAGAUUUAAGCAGAGGGGUAAAAACGACAAUUCUUCAUUGGCUUUAGCGAUUUCAUUGCCUCCAUUGCUACAUGGUAAUACAGAUAAUUCUUAUGAAAAAAAAGACACUAAAUUUCUGAGUCAAGAAAUAGGUUGCUACAAGAACAUAGUGAUGAGAGUGUUGCCUCUACCAGAUGAUAAAAAAAUGACUA
Molecule: long non-coding RNA, 6953 nt
Filed under: Actinidia chinensis (golden kiwifruit)
Lineage: Eukaryota; Viridiplantae; Streptophyta; Magnoliopsida; Ericales; Actinidiaceae
Description: long non-coding RNA (ACHI_LNC000618)
Source: RNAcentral